AAUUUCUAGUAUCUGUCGAGAUCUACUUACUUAUCUAAAAUACAAAAUUUCAUUAAUGUACCUAUUGUAGGUCUUGAGAUAUUGACGUCAGAAAAUCGCUAUUUUUACUAUACACUCACUGACUGACUGACUCACUCACUCACUCACUCACUCAUCAAAAACCUAGACCACUUCCAAUGGUCGUAUUGACUUGAAAUUUGGCAUGGAGGUAGGUCUUUAGGUCAAGGUAAAGGAAAAAAUCUGAAAAUGGCCAAGUGUGAGUCGGUUUUAAAAAUAAUGAAGGUGUAAAUUCAUACCCCUAAAGAACUAAAACAAAAAAAAUAUCUUUAUCUUCCAAUGGUCGUACCGACCUAAAAUUCGUUACGAAGGUUUGUAUUUAGUUAAAGUAAAAUAAGAAAAUAAACCUUACAAAAAUAAAUGAAAUCCCACCCAAAACAUAAAUGUGAAAGGCUGCCAAGUUCGAUAAUAUUGGAAUGCUUCGCCUAUAAAAGAAGUGAGAUCUAAAUAAGUACCAAGUUCCAUACACAGACUUCAGUUAAAAAUGAUAUAACUUGGCAAGUUUUAAUAGAAAAUUAUAUACUUGACUCAUUGCGUUUAGUAGGUUUAUAACAAAGUGUGUGAAAACUUGCCAACUUGUUAUAUCAUUUUUAACUGAGGUCUGUGUAUGGAACUUGGUACUUAUUUAGAUCUCACUUCUUUUAUGGGCGAAGCAUUCCAAUAUUAUCGAACUUGGCAGCCUUUCACAUUUAUGUUUUGGGUGGGAUUUCAUUUAUUUUUGUAA
Long non-coding RNA from Spodoptera frugiperda (fall armyworm), 781 nucleotides. RefSeq lists it as uncharacterized. Lineage: Eukaryota; Metazoa; Arthropoda; Insecta; Lepidoptera; Noctuidae. The transcript has 2 exons. The record is from RefSeq and is a predicted model, not a curated record.